GGAGUUAGCCGGUGCUUCUUCUGUGAGUGAUGUCCUUCCUGCCGGCUAUUAACCCGCAGGCCUUCUUCCUCACUGAAAGUGCUUUACAACCCGAAGGCCUUCUUCACACACGCGGCAUGGCUGGAUCAGGGUUGCCCCCAUUGUCCAAUAUUCCCCACCUGCUGCCUCCCGUAGGAGUCUGGGCCGUGUCUCAGUCCCAGUGUGGCUGAUCAUCCUCUCAGACCAGCUACGGAUCGUCGCCUUGGUGAGCCGUUACCUCACCAACCAGCUAAUCCGACAUAGGCUCAUCCGAUAGCGCGAGGCCCGAAGGUCCCCCGCUUUCCCCCGUAGGGCGUAUGCGGUAUUAGCCUGGGUUUCCCCAGGUUAUCCCCCACUACCGGGCAGAUUCCUAUGCAUUACUCACCCGUCCGCCGCUCGCCACCAGGGAGCAAGCUCCCCGUGCUGCCGCUCGACUUGCAUGUGUUAGGCCUGCCGCCAGCGUUCAAUCUGAGCCAGAAUCGAACCCUGA
RNAcentral lists this ribosomal RNA (508 nucleotides) under uncultured bacterium. RNAcentral's name for it is "partial 16S ribosomal RNA". The record is from RNAcentral.